GCGCAGCAGUCGAGAAACUUCGGCAAUGGGGGAAACCCUGACCGAGCGACGCCGCGUGUGGGAUGAAGGCCCUUGGGUUGUAAACCACUGUCAGAGGGGAUGAAAUGCCGGAAAGUUAUCUCUCCGGUUUGACAUAGCCUCAGAGGAAGCACGGGCUAAGUUCGUGCCAGCAGCCGCGGUAAGACGAACUGUGCAAACGUUAUUCGGAAUCACUGGGCUUGAAGAGUGCGUAGGCGGUUUCGUAAGUAGGGUGUGAAAGCCCCCGGCUCAACCGGGGAAUUGCGUCCUAAACUGCGAGGCUGGAGUGAGGUAGGGGUGUGUGGAACUUCCAGUGGAGCGGUGAAAUGUGUUGAUAUUGGAAGGAACGCCGGUGGGCGAAAGCGACACACUGGACCUUGUCUGACGCUGAGGCACGAAAGCCAGGGGAGCAAACGGGAUUAGAUACCCCGGUAGU
RNAcentral lists this ribosomal RNA (454 nucleotides) under uncultured organism. RNAcentral describes it as "bacterial SSU rRNA". It matches the Rfam family "Bacterial small subunit ribosomal RNA", at positions 346 to 794 of the family's 1533-position model. The record is from RNAcentral.